Molecule: transfer RNA, 73 nt
Filed under: Marmota monax (woodchuck)
Lineage: Eukaryota; Metazoa; Chordata; Mammalia; Rodentia; Sciuridae
Description: tRNA.Pro
Source: RNAcentral
CUAAGGAUAUAGCUUAGUGGUAGAGCACUUGCCUGGGAUAAGCAAGGUCCUGGGUUCGAUCUCCAUACUGAGA